AGUCAAGUGGUAACACAGUUUUAAAUUUAAGACACUCAUAAGAUUCUACAGUUGACACUGACAUAUAUUCAGUUUUAAAGCUUGUUCUGUGCAUCUAAUCAUAUGACCCUUUACUUGUUUUGCAUAUUUAAGCUACAUCAGCAACAAGUUUGCUAUGUCUGCACAAGCGGAGACUCAGUCUUUUGCUUGCCUUGGUUCCCAGCAUCUGUCUCAGUGAUGUGCUCCAGGGCUGCCCACUUGCUGGUCAGAGUAGUGAAUUCUGAGUUAUAGGAGAUUUCUGAGUGUACAGCCCAGUGCCUGGCACAGAGUAGGUCUCAGGGAGUGACAGCUAUUAUGAUUACUGUGGGUAGAGAAGCUUGGGAAAUAUUCCCCAGUGCAUUUGAAAUGUGUUGACAGAUGGGCAGAGACAGGAGGUGAAAUUCAAGCCUGUUGACUUGUUAGUAGAAUAGUUCCUCAAUUAGAUAACAGCAGAAACUCCUAGAGCUGUUUUGUUAUGCUUCAAGUUGGCAUUCUUUGUGUGUGUGUGUUUCUGUGUGCGUGUGUGUGUAUGUACACACAUAUGUAUGUUUGAGAGAGUGUGGAGGUGAGAAAUAACCUUGGGUAUUAAACACUUUUUUUUUUUUGAGAUAAGAUCUUUUAUUGGCCUUUGGCUCAUCUAAUUAGUCUAGGCUAGAUGGUGAGCCAUGAGUCCACCUAAAAAUCUCUCUCAAAAGCAGGGAUUACAAGUGAGUGCCACAAAGCUUGACCUUCUUAUGUGGGCUCUGGGGAUUGAAUUCAAGACCUUGUGAAUUCGAGACUACCAGUUUGCCAACGGAACCGUCUUUCCAGCCCUGUUGGCAUUCUUAUGAAAGGUUGAUUGCUCUAGAGAACAGGCAGAAUUAUGAAAUCAAAUGUAGAUAGCCUCAAGUUGAACCUGUUAAGUUGACUCUAAGACACCAUGACACCUAGAUGACAAUAUGUGGUUUGCAUCGUCAUAGGAUUAACAGUGACAGUUGGUGGAGUAACUUGUACAUAAUAUAGGCAUAAUUAGUGAACAAAUAUUAUAGGCUACUAGUCUGCUAAGGCUGCCAACAACAGCAAGUAAGUAUUACUGUAUAUGUGACACCCAAACAGAAAACUAUAGUCUUACUGUUCCAGAGGGUGACAGCCCCAAACUGGUGACAUUAGACUUUUUUCAUCUGAAGCUUGUAAAUGCUCAUCUUCCUCACUAUGGAUUUAUGUUAUCUUUCUUCUACCCAAUGGAAAAAUAAAAAAAUCUUCAUUUUAAGGUUAUCAGUUACUAUGGGUUAGGUUAGUCAUAACUGAAGUUGGUUACCUUUACAAGAAAUUUGUCCAAAUGAAGCCAUGCUUGAAACUUUACUAUUUGUGUUUUGAAACAAAUCAGAACCAGGUAUUAUUCCCCACUUCUUAGAAAAGAGGAUCAAGAGCUAAUAGAACUUUCCAUGGCCUAGUUCAUCAGAGGGGUAUUAAGAAGAGUUCCAAUUGCUCUUGAAAGCUACUGAGCUCCAUCAAUAUGUAAAUAUGGAGGUAGCCUUAGUGGGUGAGCACAGUACUUGGGUCAGUUCUUAUUCUUGCCUAGCAUAUGGGCUUGGCUCUCAGGUGUUGGAUUAAGUAGACAUGGUACUUAGAAGGACACGAGAUAUCUUCUUAUCUUCUUAGGCAUCUGUGCUUCUUAUACUGAUGGUUGGAUUACUAACCAGAAUCUUGACAACAAUAACAGUUAUAGCCAACACCUCCAUGACUUAAAAUUGCUAGCACUCUGUGAUUUUCUGAGCUGCUUUCGUCAAUGUCAUUUUUAUCCUUUGACAACCCUGUGGGUGGAGGCAGAUGUAUAACUCCUCAUGAAAGCCCUUAGGACCAGACACACUCCAGAAUCCAGAGCUCCAAAGGGUUGAGAUGAUAACAGUAUAUGCCCUGAUCAUUACAUAGUAUUCCUUAAGGGUCUGAGGCAGUUUUGAUGCCCUAGAGCUGAAUGUCUAAAUAAGUCACAUGACACUGGACUGGUAAAGGUACAUAACAUCUUGUUUGUGUAGGUCAGAUUUUGCUACUUCUGAAUU
Molecule: long non-coding RNA, 2057 nt
Filed under: Mus musculus (house mouse)
Lineage: Eukaryota; Metazoa; Chordata; Mammalia; Rodentia; Muridae
Description: long non-coding RNA chr7:76000823-76002880
Source: RNAcentral